This 499-nucleotide ribosomal RNA is filed under the name uncultured Gemmatimonadota bacterium. Its description in RNAcentral is "bacterial SSU rRNA". It matches the Rfam family "Bacterial small subunit ribosomal RNA", at positions 9 to 489 of the family's 1533-position model. Lineage: Bacteria; Pseudomonadati; Gemmatimonadota. The record is from RNAcentral.
GAGUUUGAUCCUGGCUCANGACGAACGCUGGCGGCUUGCNUAACACAUGCAAGUCGAGCAGGGGCAGCUUUCGGGNUGACCCGAGCUGCGGNCGGGUGAGUAACACGUGAGUAAUCUGUCUCUGUGCGGGGGACAACCCGGGGAAACUCGGGCUAAUACCGCAUGGGCGGACUCCAGGCUCUGGAGACCGGGAAAGGUAGCCUCUUUACAAUGCUGCCGUGCAGAGAGGAGCUCGCGGGCUAUCAGCUAGUUGGCAGGGUAACGGCCUACCAAGGCGACGACGGCUACGGGGUCUGAGAGGACGACCCCGCACAUUGGAACUGAGACACGGUCCAGACUCCUACGGGAGGCAGCAGUGGGGAAUAUUGGGCAAUGGCCGAAAGGCUGACCCAGCGACGCCGCGUGCGGGAGGAAGCCCUUCGGGGUGUAAACCGCUGUCAGGGGGGACGAAUGACUCUCUGGGGAAUACUCAGAGGGAGUGACGGUACCCCCAAAGGAA